RNAcentral lists this long non-coding RNA (852 nucleotides) under Linum usitatissimum (flax). RNAcentral's name for it is "long non-coding RNA (LUSI_LNC005663)". The record is from RNAcentral. Lineage: Eukaryota; Viridiplantae; Streptophyta; Magnoliopsida; Malpighiales; Linaceae.
CACCAUUCAUCCGAUAAGAGCUUCAAGCCAUAAUCAUGUUACAUCAUAUGUACAGUAGAUGGCACGCUACUGUACAGCUUCAGAGCCCAUGCUGCACAUCAUGUUACAUCACAUUAAGAAUCCUUUUAAAAAAUUCCCCAAUCAUCCUAUUAUAGUUCUAUGCUUAUAAGGUAGAAAGUAAUCCUAAAUCCCCCCCUCUAAGAAGAGCUGACACCUCAGAUUCUAGAUUGAUGUGAUUCUCCUCGCUGUCACGAAUUCGUAGUUUCUAACCCUGCGUCGUUUGGAGCCGAAACGAUCGAGUUAUGCUCUAAUUACUUCUUUGCAACGAAAUGAAACUUGAUGGGACUGAAAUGCAGCACUAGUCCUCCAAUGCUCUCCAUUUCAUUGACUGAUCCGAAUCUUUCAGAUGCUGACAAAACGGACCCAGUCCUUAACUGUAGACCAUUCGAAUGUUCAGAACUAUGAAAGCUAAACUUAAGAAUAACCAAAUUCCCAGAAAAGUCACUUAGCUUUCUAACUUGCAGAUCGGGCCAUUGAACUCCUCCAGGGUUGCGGAAAGGUCACCCUUCUUCUCCGGCGAAGGUCCUCACCGCUGGCGACCAAACCCAGAUUCCGACGAGGCCCCGACGACUCCCACUUCUCCGGAACUUCACUCAAACGGCUGCCGCCUGGCUCUUCUACCCUUCCGCAUCCGAUCGAUCCCGUGACCGUCCUCCAACAACUACUCCACAGCCACGAACUUCGUCGCCGCCGAAACGCUCUCUCUCUCUCUCUUCCCCCACGCACGCGUUGUCGCCGUAGAUCUCAUCCUCGAUUCGCAAGCCUCCGUGCAUCACCGCAAUCCAUAAGGCC